RNAcentral lists this transfer RNA (73 nucleotides) under Helobdella robusta. It matches the Rfam family "tRNA". From Rfam's summary of the family: Transfer RNA (tRNA) molecules are approximately 80 nucleotides in length. Their secondary structure includes four short double-helical elements and three loops (D, anti-codon, and T loops). The record is from Rfam by way of RNAcentral. Lineage: Eukaryota; Metazoa; Annelida; Clitellata; Rhynchobdellida; Glossiphoniidae.
AUCUAGAUAGCUCAGUCAGGAGAGCGUUAGACUAGAUGUCUAAGAGUCCCAGGUUCAAUUCUGAGUUUGGGUG